RNAcentral lists this ribosomal RNA (229 nucleotides) under uncultured bacterium. RNAcentral describes it as "partial 16S ribosomal RNA". It matches the Rfam family "Bacterial small subunit ribosomal RNA", at positions 568 to 796 of the family's 1533-position model. The record is from RNAcentral.
CACGUAGGCGGAUGCGCAAGCGUCUUGUGAAAUCCCUCGGCUCAACCGAGGAAUUGCAGGGCGAACUGCGCAUCUUGAGGCAAGUAGAGGUGUGUGGAACUCUUGGUGGAGCGGUGAAAUGCGUAGAUAUCAAGAGGAACGCCGGUGGCGAAAGCGGCGCACUGGGCUUGUCCUGACGCUGAGGUGCGAAAGCUAGGGGAGCGAACAGGAUUAGAUACCCUGGUAGUCC